CAUAGUUUGCAGAGAGCAGGAACAUUUGAACCAGGGACAGCGCCCCGCCUGUGAAGUCCAGAAUGACUGUGUAGAUACUCCAACCAUCGGUGCUCCUGUGGCUGUAGUUAACGUAGAGCUGGAAGAGGAGGAGGUGGAGGGGAGGUGGAAUUAGAACCUUUACCGGGGCAGGAUGGAGUACACUAACACCAGACAGAAAACAAGGUGGGAUUAGAACCUUUACCGGGGCAGGAUGGAGUACACUAACACCAGACAGAAAACAAGGUGGGAUUAGAACCUUUACCGGGGCAGGAUGGAGUACACUAACACCAGACAGAAAACAAGGUGGGAUUAGAACCUUUACCGGGGCAGGAUGGAGUACACUAACACCAGACAGAAAACAAGGUGGGAUUAGAACCUUUACCGGGGCAGGAUGGAGUACACUAACACCAGACAGAAAACAAGGUGGGAUUAGAACCUUUACCGGGGCAGGAUGGAGUACACUAACACCAGACAGAAAA
Molecule: long non-coding RNA, 500 nt
Organism: Eriocheir sinensis (Chinese mitten crab)
Lineage: Eukaryota; Metazoa; Arthropoda; Malacostraca; Decapoda; Varunidae
Exons: 5
Source: RefSeq, a predicted model, not a curated record